Molecule: ribosomal RNA, 1160 nt
Filed under: Candidatus Mesenet longicola
Lineage: Bacteria; Pseudomonadati; Pseudomonadota; Alphaproteobacteria; Rickettsiales; Anaplasmataceae
Description: bacterial SSU rRNA
Rfam family: Bacterial small subunit ribosomal RNA
Source: RNAcentral
CGAUAACACAUGCAAGUCGGACGAGAGUUAUAUUAUAGUUUACUAUAAUAUGCUUUAGUGGCAGACGGGUGAGUAAUAUAUAGGAAUCUACCUAAUAGUAUGGGAUAAUUGUUAGAAAUGACAGCUAAUACCAUAUAUUCCUUACGAGGGAAAGAUUUAUCGCUAUUAGAUGAGCCUAUAUUGGAUUAGCUAGUUGGUAAGGUAAUGGCUUACCAAGGCAGUGAUCUAUAGCUGGUUUGAGAGGAUGAUCAGCCACACUGGAAUUGAGAUACGGUCCAGACUCCUACGGGAGGCAGCAGUGGGGAAUAUUGGGCAAUGGGCGAAAGCCUGACCCAGCUAUGCCGCGUGAGUGAUUAAGGUCUUAGGAUUGUAAAGCUCUUUUAGUAGGGAAGAUAAUGACGGUACCUACAGAAAAAGCCCUGGCUAACUCCGUGCCAGCAGCCGCGGUAAUACGGAGAGGGCUAGCGUUGUUCGGAAUUACUGGGCGUAAAGGGUACGUAGGCGGUUUAGUAAGUUAGAGGUGAAAUCCUGGGGCUUAACCUCAGAAUUGCUUUUAAAACUACUAUACUAGAGAUCGAAAGAGGAUAGUGGAAUUCCUAAUGUAGAGGUAAAAUUCAUAGACAUUAGGAGGAACACCGGUGGCGAAGGCGGCUAUCUGGUUCGAUUCUGACGCUGAUGUACGAAAGCGUGGGGAGCAAACAGGAUUAGAUACCCUGGUAGUCCACGCUGUAAAUGGUGAAUGCUAAAUGUAGGAAUUUUUAUUUCUGUGUUGUAGCUAACGCGUUAAGCAUUCCGCCUGGGGACUACGAUCGCAAGAUUAAAACUCAAAGGAAUUGACGGGGACCCGCACAAGCGGUGGAGCAUGUGGUUUAAUUCGAUGCUACGCGAAAAACCUUACCACUCCUUGACAUGGAGGCUAUCUCCUUCUUAACAGAAGGAUUCAGUUCGGCUGGGCCUCACACAGGUGUUGCAUGGCUGUCGUCAGCUCGUGUCGUGAGAUGUUGGGUUAAGUCCCAUAACGAGCGCAACCCUUAUCCUUUGUUACCAACAGGUCAAGCUGGGUACUUUAAGGAAACUGCCAAUGAUAAAUUGGAGGAAGGAGAGGACGACGUCAAGUCAUCAUGGCCCUUAUGGAGUGGGCUACACACGUGCUACAAUGG